GGGGCCGACUGGUUUUGACAGCAGGUCGAAUUGGAUGGUAAGCACGUCAGGAACGGGGACAUAUCCUGUAACUCAUGUCUCAAACUUUUAAACGGCGAAAAUAACUACGCUCUUGCUGCUUAAUUCUGAAUUUAUAGUAAGAAUAUAGCCACGUCCCUGCAAGGCAGGGAGGCGGGAUCCUUCUGAAAAGCCUUGGUUUAUGGCGUUUCGAUUAGAAGGACCGUAAAAGUAAACCUAGAAGUCUUUUUGCUUCGGAAAGGCUUCGAAAUUUUAGAAGCUAAGUAUUACGUGGUAGUUUUCAACCUAUCGUAAUAUCGAAAAUGUAAAUGAGAACUAAACGUGUAGAAAGCUAUUGAAUUGCCUGUUUGGACCCGGGUUCGAUUCCCGGCGGCUCCAC
Molecule: transfer-messenger RNA, 397 nt
Filed under: Flavobacterium suaedae
Lineage: Bacteria; Pseudomonadati; Bacteroidota; Flavobacteriia; Flavobacteriales; Flavobacteriaceae
Rfam family: transfer-messenger RNA
About the family: Bacterial tmRNA, also known as 10Sa RNA or SsrA, is named for its dual tRNA and mRNA-like properties. Its role is to liberate the mRNA from a stalled ribosome.
Source: RNAcentral